UUUUGGUUCAAAUUUUAUUUUAGUUGCUAGUUGUAAGAGCUUGUGAAUUUUACAAAUAAGAGACUCAUGUACUUUAGUUUCUUUUGAGUUGAUAUAUAUAUAUAUAUAUAUAUAUAUAUAUAUAUAUAUACACAUAUAUAUAUGUAUACACACACAUAUAAUAACUCAUCUCUCCAUCUAUGCAGGCUUGAUGCGCACUAGGCUUAUGCCAUAAAAUUUCAAGGAAAUAUAUAGGAGCUUUGUAAACUUUUUCAUCUUCCUUUGUAUCUGAAUAAGCUUAGGUAAAUGCAUGUAUUCAUAUAGGAAUUCAUAAAUAGAAAUAAAGUAUCUGAAAGUUUAAUGAUAUCUACAAGUACUUAAUAACAUCAACGUCAUAUCCAGUUUUGUAUAUAGUACAUCUUAAUAUUCUUAAUUUUUCCUUUAUUUUUGAGAAUUUCAUACAUGGGGAGUAGACAUUCAUAUUUCAUUCUACACAUACAUGAAUUCUCAGUGUUUUCAACAAACAAUGGUAGUCUGUACUGGGGAAUAUAGAAAUGAAUAAGAUUUGGGGGAAGAAAGCAUGGUCUACAGCAAGGGAAAAGCAUUCUAUGCUAAGGGCUCUGCCAUCAGCCCCUGUGACUCACCCUUUCCAAGGUGCACAGCCUGUGUACCUGACAUGAUCAGUUUUAUGUGUCACCUUGACUGGGCCACUGCGUACCCAGAUAUUUUGUUCACAUGUGACUCUGGGUGUUUCUCUGACGGUGUUUGGGGAUGAGAGCAAUGCCCGAGCUAAGGAAGGUAGGUGGCUGUCAUGGCUAGCUUCAACUGUCAAAAGCACCUGGAAGGGUGCUUCAAGGAAGGAUUAUCUAGAGUAGGCAGACUUUGGGGCAUGUCCGGCAGGGGUAUCUCGAUUGUGUUAAUUGGGGUGGGAAGAUUUACCCACUGUGGGCAGCACCAUUCCUUGUCCAGGGGUUGAGAGUAAGCUGAGCUCUAAUAUGUGGGGAUCUAUCAAAUGUGGAUGCACUGUGACUAGUGGCUUCUAGAUUUGACGGUAGCAGGCUGUAACCUGCCACUGUGGGCCAAAAUAAAUCAUUUUUCCUGUAACUAAACCCCUUUACACUUAAGUUGUUUUUGUAAGGGUUUUCUAUGGCAGCAAAACAGGAAGUGAAACUAAGAAAGUCCGUACCUGGGUGAGCCCAACCUAAGCCCUGAAAGUCUGAAUAGAAGGAAAGACUGACUAAAGGCUUUGAACGUGGGCUUGUUUCUUGCUCCCAGAAGCUCCUCCCAGGCUCCUGGGCUUACCAGUGUUCAUACUGGGGCUGGGCUGAGGUCAUCAGCUCCCCUGGGUCUCGGGACACCGACAUAGGGCUGGACCAGGAUAGGUGAUCCUCUGCCUUGAACCUCCAGCUUGCCAAAUCAACUUUGAAAGUCUUGGGACUAAGCCCCUAAACCAUGUGUCUAAUCCUUAUAGAAAACCUCUUUACACUCACACAGGUAGAUGCUUCCUGUUGAAUCUGUUUCUCUGGAGAGUCCCGACUUGGACCCUUUGUAAGGACUCAGGCUUUGGGGCUGUGUUAAACCAGGAAACACCAUCCUUUCCUUCCUCUGAGGCCUGGACUCUUAUAAAGCUGACUCCUCUACAUCAGCCACCCAUGUUACCCUCCUGGAGCUUCUAGGAUGACAAAGAACAAGGUCCCCAGCUAACAGUCACAGCUAAGCCAUCGGGUUUACACUUUACUGAUCGAUCCCACCCCUCAGGAGGGGUGAUUCAGGAGAGGCAUGGCUGGGCUCACACAUUGUGUUCCCUUUUAAAAGUCCUUUCAUUCCCUUUUUUUUUUUUCCUUUUGCAGAGGGUGGAGAGAGCAUGCCAUGGUUUGUAUGUGGAGGUCAGAGGGCAGCUAACUGUCGGCACUUGGUUCUCUCUUUCUAGAGAUCAAACUCAUUUUGAAGCUUGGCAGCCAUGGCUUUUACCUGCUGAUCCUUCGGCCCUCGUUUUUAUUUAUUUUUAACUACUAACAUUCCACUGGGUAGAAGUAAGCAAGAUGAUGUAGUGGGGAAACAGAUCAGAGACUAUGCGACCAACCCUUAGGGCACAGUCCUGCACUAAGGACAAAGGGUGGAGAGGGGACACAGCUAGAAGGGACAAAGACACCCAGAGCACCAGACAACUCUGGGGUAUCUGACUCUGGAGAUGCUGGACAGACACUGAUGUAUGGAGAAGAUGACAGGAGCAAGCUCUGGGGCAAAGAGUAGAGGGGACACAAGAAUGAGGCCAGUAAGGACAGGAAUGUCCACGUCAACAUGUCAUCCUAGACUUGGGCGUGAGGACCUCCAACACACUCCACAUUGACAACAUCUGGAAAGUCAUCAGUAGGACUGUCAGGACUGUCUCAGGGAUGGUGACAAAGUUCACAGGGACCAUGACGUUCUGGUAGCUGUUUUCUGCUGUUAUGUCGUUCUUUAAACAAACAUUUAAGAGCAGGUUGGCUUAUAAAGAUAGAUACACUGAAUGAGUACCAGAUAAAACAAUAGACCGUCCCACUGUCCAUCUCUUCUAGUCUAGACUCCACUCGGAGUUAACUCGUAGCUUCUGGCUCCACAGACUAUGGAUGGCAGUAGAGGGCACGCCUCCCACUGGCUGAAUCUCUCUGAGCCACUACUGAAAGCUGAAACACACCUCUUGCAAGUGAGUUCAUUUGACUGUUUAAGGCCUUUGAUUCUACUGUAAGUAAGCUAGUGGCACUGUGGAGAUGCUCAGAGGUCCUCAGCCAACCCCUCCCUUUCCUAGAUCCCAGUAUAUGUGUGCCUCUGUUCACAGAGUCUUCCUGGCUCUACUUACGGAAAAUGCACUAAGCCGUGAAAGCAUCGCCAAGGUGAGGACGGCACCAGCUAACUGGGUGGGACCGUGAGUUCAGUUUAUUUUCAAAGUGACUCAGUAGAAUCCAGGAAUAAGCCUUUGGCAUGAGCCAAAAGCUCUGGGCUAGCUUUCAGAUAAGGGUGAAGCCGCACGAAACAUCUUUCCAGAAACUCGGUGCCCUCAAAAACCCCUCCUCCCUACUGUCUGAAGAAUCAGAGCAAGCCACUGCAGGUCCUUACCCAGCCCUGGGGCCCUGCAUGCCCGUUUUCAUAAGGGUAUAUUUCUGGUCUCUCUAACGGGUGAGUUUCCUGUUAAUAUCCUUUCCAAUAUCUCUUGCCAUAAGACUUCUCAUAGUCACACUGACCCCAGACUCGGCCCCCAAGCAGGGAAUGAUUGACUGAAGACUGCCUCUCCGGUUGCUUUUGCUGCGCAGUCUAUGGCACAGGAAGGGAGGAUGGAUCUGAAAGUGGACGAAUCCAGCUCAGAGCUUAGAGCUCCACGCACCACCACUGAACUUCAGAAAAGACUUCAUCACCCCUAGCCUUGGUUUUCAUAUCCUUACAGUAGGCAGACUGACAGCAGCCGCUUGCAGCUGGGUGCUAUCCACAGAGGGGGAUAAUAAUAAGAUUCAUGCAUAUGCAUGACUUCACUAGGGAUACGCUGUUUGAAGACAAAGGCCAUGUUUUUUAAACAUCUGCAUCCCAUAGCACCUGCCACAUUAUAAAUGCGCGAGAAACAUGGUAUGAUUAUGUAACAUGAGCAAAUGCCAAAAAAAAAAAAGAAAAAGAAAGGAAGGAAGAAAAAAAAAGAGAAAGAUGUUACAUGUCAAGUGAUACUAUAAACAAGCCAGUUUGUGUGCAGUAUGUCAUUGAGCUCUGAGCCUUCAGCGGCUGCCUCCUCAGAUGCUACCUCCAAACCCAGAGGCAGCCUCAGCGCCUGUAUAUCAUAAACUCCCUGGCACCCUGUUCAGGAAAAACUAAAAGGCAUCUAUCAUACCAGCUUUUGAAUCAAAACAAUGCAAAAACUGCUGCUAAGGUACACUAUUCUUUUCUUAGUUUUUUUUUUUUUUUUAAAACUACACUGCACUAAUCAAGAAAAUGGUUUUCCAUGGCUCCCUGUGACAAGCAGGGAAGACUGUCAGGUAUGUCACACACAUGGCUUAACAUGUCACAAUGAAUGAAAUACUCAUUUCCCAGCUCUGAGGUUCAGUGUGAGUCUCACCUGCACUGAGAACAUUCAGGUAAACAAGGCCUGGCAAGUAAAACUCGUGUCAAUCCGGACAUGGGGACAUCACCAAUCACUUCUCUCAAUGCCAGGCCAGAGAGGGCAGAACACUCUAUUUUUGGAAAGAAAAGACACAGACUCUCCCACAAAGAAUUUACUUACAAACGUAAGCACUAACCAAUUCCACUAUUUUAUCUACUUACUUUAUUAUUUAUUUGGAAAGGUCUCCCUCUAUUAGCUAAGCUGGUACCUGCUAUGCUUGAACAGGGUGACCUUAAACUUAAGACAGUCCUCCUGCCUUUUUCUCCAAGUUCCUGAGAUGACAGCGACCUAAAAACACUGGGUUAAAUGAGAGAGCCUCAGGACAGCUCCCUAGGAAAGAUGGCUUCAGGACAAACUUCUGUUGCUGUGAAGCUGGCACAGAAGAUAAUCCACCCACUGAAGAGCAGAAUUAGCACCGGGGCUUUGGUGUUGGGUUUGUUUCCCUGAAAUAACUUCUUUCUCAGGCUUCCCAUGGCAUCACGGUGAAUCUCUGAAACGUGAAAUUUUAGGCAACAUCAGCGGUCUUUUUUUUUUUUUUUUUCUUUUCUUACAAUGGUUUCUAAGACAUAGGGCUGAACUCAUGGUCACAGUAAGGCAAUGACAACUCGGACUCCUACCCACGGCCAGCGGCUAGCUGCUGUAGGGUUCUGCUUCUGCUCGGCUAUCAUUUGCACCCUGGCUUCCAUGGCUGCUUCCCAGUGUUGACAGGUAUCAAUUGCUCUCAGAUCUUUGAAUGAGACAAAUUUUAUAAAUUCUCAGACUUGGAGAUCUGCCCAUUCUGGACAAGUCAUAUUCACAAGUUACCUAACUCCUUCCUUGGGUGCCCUUCCAGACAUACUGGCAAAUACCAGGCGUCUGUAAGCAUUUUGGCUGACUCCCUCCCAGUUGAGGUACAGACAUGACCAGGAAUUCACCUGAAUCCUGUUCAGUGGUGCUGUUCAGGUACAAAAUGCAUAAGAUAUGCUGUGAACAGUCUCCCCAAACAGUAUAUGCCACUGGCAAAGGCCCAUCCAAACAGCGCAGCUAAGCGUAUCAGAAAUACAAGGCAAACAUGAGCCCGUCAGAUAAUGGGGAGGCCUCUUAAUAGGCACCAUCCUGUCAAAUAUACCUACAUCCAAUGUACAGCAUGAGCAAGUCAGGGAUUAUAGACGCACACCUAUUCUUUAUAAAUGGCAUAUAGGAUGGUGUUUAUCCACCUGAAUCUACAGAGUUAAGAGAAGGCUGUGCAUGACAGUGUUGAGGGCAUCAUUAAUGCCGUGAGGACUCUGUGAAAAUGCUCUACAGCUUUGCUCUCACUUAAGGUAUAGAGACAGAGAGCAGAAGAUGACUGAAAGUGAUAAUAUAUGAGUACACAUACAUACACACACAUACACACACACACAUACACACACACAUAUACACAUACAUACAUAUAUACAUAUACACACAUACAUACACCAGUGUGUGUGUAUAUGUGUAUGUGUAUAUAUAUAUAUAUAUGUGUGUGUGUGUGUGUGUGUGUGUGUGUGUGUGUGUGUGUCUACACAUACAUAUUUUUCACAUAUGUAUGCAUGUAUACUGACAGACUGGAAUGCCCUACCUCCCCUCUGUCAGGGUGAGCUUUGCAAACAGGCAUAACUGAAGAUUAAUAGAGACAUUCUAAGAAUAGGAAGGGACUGCAGACAGAAGGCCUGAGAGCUGGUGAGCUACGGAAGCGGAUACACUCUUAAGAAGUGAGAGGAUCGGUCUUUAGAUCAGUCGGCCAUUGGACCCAUUGUAACCCUUCCUACCCACCUGACCUCCUCGUGGCCAGAACAAGGAAAAGAACCCCGUUAGAGAAUAGGGUUCAUGGAGCUGAAGACAGAACAAUUCGAGUGGUUCCUCCACAGAGCAAAGUCACAUUCACUGUCCCUGACACAAAGUAAAAUGAGGUCUUAUUCCCUCUGCAGCCAGUCUGGGUCCCCAACCACCUCUGAGUCAGUGGGGAGAGGUGAAAAAUUAUUUUUAUGCAAGGACCAUUUUUAAAAAAUGUGUUAGGCUGCUAUCUCACAAAACUUUAGAUGUGGGGAUGGUGGGCAGAACCCUAGCUGCAAUCUCAGGCUGCAUGCCCAGAGCUUAGUGGCCUUCCAGUCCUGCCUACUUUCUGAGCCAUGCACCCCAAUAUUGUUACUUUCCAGCUGGGGGCUCCUUACUCUGAAAAUCCACAGCCCCAGUAACUAAGCAUGAGGUCGUUAGGUACCUUCUACAUUCUUUUUUUCCUUUACUUGGAUGGUGCGGGGUUGCUCCUAGACUCAAAGAAAUGCUUGCCUCUUUUCUCCCUCUAUGCUUUGAGGUAAUGGAACAUCCCUCCUUCAGAGAGAAUGAGAGGCUGAGAAAUUGACCUGAGAAUCUUCAGGGGUCCUUUUAUUGAACCAUGAAGCCCUGUCUUUCUUCAGAUACCCAAAAUGAAUGCAGACUUUCAACUAUGGUGGUUUCUUGAGCCCAAGGAGCGCCUCUGUUCAGAAGAACUCAGAACACACUUCCACAGGCUGCUGCCAUCUGGGCACAGCUGGCUUCUUCUCCAGUGCUUUUCUGACCCCUUAUUCUUGAAGAUGGUGGGGCAGGGUAGGUCCAGUAUCUGUGGAUUUUAUGAGCUCUCUGACUUCUCUGACUCCCUUGGAGUGGAGCUCUUUGGAGGCAUUAGCAAGCAGCACAUAAACACCAGUGGUUUCUUUAUGCAGUGAAGAAUUCACUAUUUCAUUGAAUUCACCAUUUAACAUUUUAAAAUUUUCUAAGGGAAAAAUGCUCAGAGCAGCUUUUUAUCAUAAAUUCUACCUCAUCUUCCCCUCUCCACCCAUUCUUGCAAUGGGCAUUUCCCUUUGGCACUUUUGUAAGUACUUGAUUAGAAUUGCCAAUACAUGCUACCAACCUUCUCCACUGACAGCACACGCCACCCACCCAUCGGCCCCUCUUCCUUUCCCUUCAGGGCUCACUCUUUGAAGGAGCCAAUCACAAACCCAUUAGAUGCACAACAAACAGCAUACAAUGGUACCCAGGACGUUUUUUACUUUCUCUAGUAUGCCUCAGUAUCCUUACUACAAAACAAGAUUAACCUAGACUGAUCUCUAACACCCUUCCAGCUCUGUAGUUCUGUGUCUUCGAAAUGUAUUCAGAAAAGCACAUGAGAUGGGGAGAUGGCUUAAUGGUUAAAGUGUUGGCUGCACAAGCCUGUGGACCUGUGUUUGGAUCCCCAGCACCCGUGUAAGGGGCGCAGUGGCAUGCAACUGUAAUCCCUGUGCUGAGGUAGGCUAUGUGUAGCUGGACUUUAGCUAUUUUGUGGGUUCUUCUUACUUCCACUCUUCUCCACACCUUUUCUUCCACCCUUUCAACCCCCUACACUAGACAGGAGAGAAAAAAGCAUAGGGGGAAAAAGGGUGACAUUAUUGUUAGACCACUUCCCGCUAAUUAGGGGCAUUGAGUUCCUUGGGGCAAGUUUGAUCUUCAACAUCAGGAUAUUUAAUUUCUUCUUGUUGUUUCUUCUUUUGCACCUGACUACCUAACAAACCAUGACCACCAACAACCAAUAGCAACCAACCACCAGCCAGCCCCACCCUGCUUUUGGGACCCUAGCAUUUAUAUAUCCUCUGAAAACUUGACAGAAUUCCAAACAUCACACAAUCACAGGAAGUAUCUGCAGCUGGCAAAAUCACAUCCCUGCUAGUGCAUGAGGCAAAUCAUGGUCAGAUGCUGUGGACAAUCUGAAGCAGCUCCAUAUUCCAUAUCUGGGUUUAAAAUGAAACAAUAUUAUUAUAAUAUUUCUCUCUGUGUGUAUUUUUUUUUUUUAAAGAAAACCAAAAUUCCAGUAUUGUCAUUAAGCUAGAGGGCAGAGACAUGCGGAUCCCUGGAGGUCACUGCAAGCCAGUCUAGCCAAACCAGCCAACUAUACAGGGCAGUUCUCUAUCCAGAAUGCGUUUCUAACACCUUGCCUGUGUGGCUUAGUGCGACCAUCUUGUGGUUUUCUAAGACUUCUUCAGAUUUGUACAAUGACCACCAAGGAUAUAGAGGGAUGACAUGUCAUGUGCCCUGGCUGAAGAAAGCCCAAAGUCAUGGGUCUCUGAGCUCCAAACAGGAGGGACAGAUGUUCUUGAAACAGUAUACAUGAUCCUCUGUGAGUUAGACACGCAGGGCUAGCUGAGUCCUUAUAUCUUCGUACGUCUCACGAACCGUUUUUUCUUCCUUAUAUUGAAACAAGUCAUCCCCUUAGCAUCACCUUUAAGGACGGGAAGCCCCAUGCCUGCGGGAAAUUGGUACACUCACUGCAAAUGGCAUAGGAGCAGAACUUAGCUGGACACCAGGCCACAUGUGUUCCCAUUUCAUCCCAUGCCAAGCAGCUCCUCACAGAGGCUUUUCUGCCUGGUUCUGGGAUCCAGGAGCAGGGUUGACCAUAGGAUGAGCAUCCAAACAGGAAAGCAUUCUGAGUAUGGAGAGACUGUUGAAAACUAGUGUGCACCAAUGGACCUGUGAUCUAAGCCGAGACGUUCUCAUGCAAACUGUGGGACACUGUGCAUUGAUUAUUUGUGUUAAAUACAGAUCGUUAGAGUCUGCAUAACCAAUGCAAACAGGAUCAAUUGGCAUGCAGACCCUGCAGGAAGUGACUAACACAUACAAAAGCCCCCCCCCCCCCGUCCCCCGUCCUUCUUCCUCCUACAUCUCUAGCUGUUCCUUCUUGGUCUCCCUCCCCGGUCUUCCUCUCUCAUCAAUGGGAUAGAGUUCCUUAGAGCUCUGUCCUAGAAUCUAAACGCCUUUAAUCCCUCUCUACAUCCUCUUUCUAGGCCACAGGAUCGAUUCCUCAGUCUUAACAAAAUUAUGAAAUCUGUGUCUUCUGGACACACCCCCUUCUGACCUCCAUUCACACUUGGUUCCCACACAACUGUCUUCUCAGGGUCAGACUUCUGAAGCUCAAAGGACCCAAACUGAAACCACUGUGCUCCCUCAAAUACACGUUCAGUCCUAUAGUGCCUCCAUCCAUCCAUGUAUUCUGAGUAUCUCCAUCUCCAUGACCUCAUAAAGACCAAAGGUUACUUACGUGGUUCUCAAAUAAUCCUUGAAUGUGUUCCCUCCUCCUAAAUCCACUGAUUCUAACUCCACCAAAGCACUGUCUUAGUUCUCUAGAGAGCAGGUGCCUCCCCAGCUGUUGAUAUGUCUUCCCAUUUUCCAGCAGUACAGUGACCCACUUCCAACCCAAUGCGUCUCCUAAAAGGAGACCAGAGUAACCUUCAGCAGAUGCUCUGUGGUGUUACAUCACUUCUCACUUAAAACUUUCCCUGGGUCUCCAUCACUUCUGAGAUUGUAUUCCAAAUCCCUAGCGAGACACCUGAUGCUCAGCUUUCUCCAGCCCUCACAGAUUCAGCUCCUAGCUACAUCUUGGCUUCCCUACCUGCUUUCCCUUUAUUUGAAACAGUUCCUUCAACAGCCCCUUAAAUCCCAGCAUACACACACACACACACACACACACACACACACACACACACACACACGCCUGUUUUCUGCCCACUGUUGAAACUCAGUUUAAAUUCAGCUUCAUCGAGGAAUUCUUCCAUGGCCACUUAGAAUAGGUUAUUUAAGGAUACUAUUCAGUGUGCAGAUGUCCCAUUUUAAUCAGUGACUUUUAACUGUCCAUUUCUGAGGGGCGUGGAUGAGAUCUUGAGUGAGCAUGUGCAUUGUUGGUGUGAACAUGGCCAUGUUAAGGACCUUACUGCCUCAGGCCCAUGGAAAGGGCAACACCUUCCCUGGGUGAGGCCCAGAAGCGUGGCAAAGCCUUUCUCUGAUCCACAUAUGAGUGUGUAUAAAAGAUUGAACAGCAUGCAUGCCAAAUGUAGCAGCCACAGCUUCCUCCUCCAGGAUGACUGCAACCUGAGGCUGCUCCCUUACAGAGAUCUCCCACAGAGACCAGUUUAUACCUCUCUUCCUGGCAUUGCCUAUGCACUGAGUUUUUGGGCUAUGUAGUAGGUGGUCUCCAACAGGGUGAGCCCGGCCCACCCAGCACCAGCUUUUCUGUAUGUGUGUCUGUUGGCCUCUUCAUUUCCAAGUUUCCCAGGUCUGGUUUCCAGGACCAAACCAAACAGGCUAAGAGGCUCACUUUCCCCCAGAACAACGCACAACAAUGGCUGAGCAGACAGUUAGAUAUGUGUUAAUUGUCGCACCUCAAGAUGCAAGACACAUUUUGGUUCAUUAUAGAUUUUUAAUAAUUGAUACUUAACUGAAAAUGCAGGAAAAGGAAGAGAAGGACUAUCUGUGCUCCUGUAACCUACCCGUAGCUUCUUGUUCUGGAUGCGGCAGGGAUAGAGAGGAGAGUAAAGAGACAAGGGAGGACCGAACAGGAAGAAGAUGGGAGUCUGAGCAUGGAAGGGAAGGGACUGAAACGUGCUGCUCUGAGAGGACUUCAAAACAUGGACAACAGGAUGUCAGCUUUUUAGGAAAGUUGGUAAGAAAGCCCAGGCCCAGAAAGACAAACACCACAUGUUCUCUCUCCUAUGUGGGUCCUCAUUUCCAAUUCUUAUCUAUGUGUGUCUAUGUGGGAGUGGAUGUGUAUUGAGGCCAGGAAGCUAGAAGGGAGCCAUGGGAGGAAGGAGAACAGAGGUGUGGAGUUGGGCAGCAGAAGAACAGCUUGUUGGGAGAAUGAAGAGGCCAAUCUUGGGGAUAGGAAGCCUUGGGUCGGAGGGAUGGAAUAUGGAUGGAGGAAGAUCACCCCAAAAUAAGGAUGCGUGAAAAAGCGACAAGGGAAUCUGACUGUUUUGCAAGUUAAUUAAAGCACAAGAGGUAAGGAUCAGACUGUGAACAGAGGUAAAACCACCCCCAGAAGACAGAUUAUUCAGUAGGACACCCUUCUUACGAUUGCUUUGUCAGGGAGGCCUCUGGGCCCCCCAAGCCCCAAACAAGGCAAGUUCCUGCCACUGCUCUUGGUCGCUCACCAGAAUUAGAUGGUAAGACCUGUCAUAGAAGAUGCCACAGCGUUGACUGGAACUGAGCCAGAAGUGUUCCUCCUUCUGGCUGCUACCUUGUAUGAUGCUGAAAGGUGCUACGCAGGACGUUGAGAGAGAAAUGCCAUCAAAGCCCAUAGCCAACUGUGAACCUUGUGUGGGACACUCCUGUCUUGCCAGGCUAUAUACCCCCUGGUACAACAGUGACGUAGCUUCCAUAGAGGUAACCAAGCACUUUAUGAUUUUUCUGACUGGAUUUGAGGGCAUUUCUUGCCUCCGAGGGUAUUGUAAAUCUGACAGAAAGUCUAUGGUUGUAGUGGUCAUAGAGCCUAUCGAGGAAACAAAUAUUGUUAUUCUGCUAAACAGAUGUAUCAAGUUGUAUUCAUGUUUAUGUCCACAGAUUGGUGCUGCUCCAAUCUUUGGUCAGAAAGCUUUCAGUUAGAGAAGCAGUGGGAGUUAGUUAUUGCAGAGAUUUGUAGCUGGUUAGUCACGCCUGGUCCUGAGUGGGCAUGUGCAUCACGUCUACCAGGGAACACUGGAGAAGCAGGGAGAACACGAGGAGGAAUGUUAUGGACUGUGGUCCUGUGGCAAGUGAUGCCCACUGUACUCGUGAACUCACAUGAGCUGUGAUUACCUCCAUAGACUAAACAAGAUAUGACCCAUCGACAGUCCAUCACAGAUGGAAGAGGGGCUCUGAGGAGCCACUGGCAGUUAAUGGCUGCCAGGGGAGGGGAGACAUUUUCUUUGAUGGCACAGCCACCUAACAGUUGUUUACACUUCUGUAAUAACCCCUCACCUAUGUUUGUGUAAGUAACCUGGGUUGAAUUCAUUGGGUCACCAAACAAACAAAACCAAACCAAGACACAGAAGUAGAAGGUAGACUGGGAAGAGAAAAGUGAUUGGUGAGGUAGGAGGGUAUGAGAGGGAAUUGGGAGUAGAAUAUGAUCAAUUUAUCCAAGAUAUCAACAUGAAACCUUUUGGUCUUGUUUUAUCUCUAAAAUGUCCUAUAAGGAGAUAUAGUUUAGAAAGAAGAAAAAUAUGGAGAACUGAGUUAAGAGAGGGAAGGACACUAGUUUUGGCCGCACAUAAGCAAGGCAGUCAACUUUUCAGGGACUGGAGCUGCCUCAUACACAAAGUGAUAAAACACAGAGACAUGAGGUGUCCGCUUGCCAGUCACUCUAAGCCCCAAGCAUCCAUCAAGGCUGUCUCUACCAACCCCUUAAUCAAACCAUCAAAGGUAUAUUUCUUUACUACACAGGUUGUAACAAGGCACAUCUGAAUUCUUCAUAGCCCACUGUGAAAAUGUCACCUUCUGAGAAAUGUCCAGUUUCUCUGAGAAGCCUCUUUGAACCAGUUUUCUUGUAGGAGUAGGUGUCAUAGGUGGGAAUUGUGGGAAGGCCAAACGUAAGGAUAAAUAAUCAAACUGAUCUAGCGUGAGGAAUUCAGCCUAGAAAUGCCCCCCCCCCCAUUUCAGUUAAAACGUUUUUAUUCACAUGGCACCAAAUGUCUUUCCACCCAACACAGCUCAAACACCAGUGCUUCACUUUUCACCGUGCCCUCUGUCCUCUGCCGGUCUUGUAUUUUGGUAAGAAGAGAUGAAUCUGACACGGUCAAUACAAACAGGGAGAAUGAGGACAUAAAUAAGUGAAAUAAAAUUACUGGCCAUCUCAGAGAUUGCGGUCAGCGAAAGAGCUGCCCACAGCAUCCCUUCAAUACAGGCAUUUAUGGCGCUCAGUGAAAAUGUGUUCUCUCCUUGCAGCUAGGGGCAGUUUGUUACAACGCUCAAGACAGAUUGCUGACUAUUGUUGUAAUUACAAACUUUCAAAGAUAAACCAAGGCUGGUCCUCGCCCAUUGUGAACUGUAUCCAUAGAGUUGUUACUAUAGGUUGGGGGGUGGGAGGGGCGGGAUGGAUACAAGCUAAUGAUUUUCCUCUGAGGAUAUGUCUGUGAAAUAGCGCACAGCUGAGAAGAAUGAUGGACAUAUUCAUUAUUACAAGACGAAGUGAGAAAACCGAGAUGUCUCUUUAUUAAUAGCAUGUUCCAGAACAACGGCUGUAUAGGCAAUAAAAAAAAUAAAUAACCUCAGACAUUCGAGUUAACAUCAAGUGAGAGUUUUCAGAUUACUUACGUCAG
This is a long non-coding RNA of Mus musculus (house mouse), 13173 nucleotides long. RefSeq annotates it as predicted gene 11655. NCBI's taxonomy places the organism in Eukaryota, Metazoa, Chordata, Mammalia, Rodentia, Muridae. The transcript is spliced from 3 exons. The record is from RefSeq and is a predicted model, not a curated record.